The sequence is a transfer RNA, 103 nucleotides long. It matches the Rfam family "tRNA". Rfam says of the family: Transfer RNA (tRNA) molecules are approximately 80 nucleotides in length. Their secondary structure includes four short double-helical elements and three loops (D, anti-codon, and T loops). Further hydrogen bonds mediate the characteristic L-shaped molecular structure. tRNAs have two regions of fundamental functional importance: the anti-codon, which is responsible for specific mRNA codon recognition, and the 3' end, to which the tRNAs corresponding amino acid is attached (by aminoacyl-tRNA synthetases). tRNAs cope with the degeneracy of the genetic code in two manners: having more than one tRNA (with a specific anti-codon) for a particular amino acid; and 'wobble' base-pairing, i.e. permitting non-standard base-pairing at the 3rd anti-codon position. The record is from Rfam.
GCCGCCGUAGUAUAGCCCGGUCAAGUAUGCGGGCCUCUCGAGCCCGUGACACCCUAGGCCCGUGAGGGUGCGGGACACCCGGGUUCAAAUCCCGGCGGCGGCA